RNAcentral lists this ribosomal RNA (488 nucleotides) under uncultured Spirochaeta sp. RNAcentral's name for it is "bacterial SSU rRNA". It matches the Rfam family "Bacterial small subunit ribosomal RNA", at positions 894 to 1382 of the family's 1533-position model. Lineage: Bacteria; Pseudomonadati; Spirochaetota; Spirochaetia; Spirochaetales; Spirochaetaceae. The record is from RNAcentral.
CAGAAACUUAAAGGAAUUGACGGGGGCCCGCACAAGCGGUGGAGCAUGUGGUUUAAUUCGAUGGUACGCGAGGAACCUUACCAGGGCUUGACAUACGUUGGAAGCGCAUCGAAAGGUGCGUGCCGCUUGCGGCCGGCGUACAGGUGCUGCAUGGCUGUCGUCAGCUCGUGCUGUGAAGUGUUGGGUUAAGUCCCAUAACGAGCGCAACCCCUACUGCUAGUUGCCAGCGGGUCAUGCCGGGGACUCUAGCGGAACUGCCAGCGUAAGCUGCGAGGAAGGUGGGGAUGACGUCAAAUCAGCACGGCCCUUACGUCCAGGGCUACACACGUGCUACAAUGGCCGGUACAGAGCGCAGCGAGGCCGCGAGGCGGAGCGAAUCGCUUAAAGCCGGUCCCAGUACGGAUUGGAGUCUGCAACCCGACUCCAUGAAGUUGGAAUCGCUAGUAAUCGCGCAUCAGCAUGGCGCGGUGAAUACGUUCCCGGGCCUU